GAAACGGUGGCUAAUACCGGGUAUGCCGAAAGGUGAAAGGUUAACUGCCUGGAGAUGAGCUCGCGUCUGAUUAGCUAGUUGGUAGGGUAAAAGCUUACCAAGGCGACGAUCAGUAGCUGGUCUGAGAGGACGAUCAGCCACACUGGGACUGAGACACGGCCCAGACUCCUACGGGAGGCAGCAGUGGGGAAUUUUCCGCAAUGGGCGAAAGCCUGACGGAGCAAUACCGCGUGAGGGAGGAAGGCUCUUGGGUUGUAAACCUCUUUUCUCAGGGAAGAAUAAUGACGGUACUUGAGGAAUAAGCAUCGGCUAACUCCGUGCCAGCAGCCGCGGUAAUACGGAGGAUGCAAGCGUUAUCCGGAAUGAUUGGGCGUAAAGCGUUCGCAGGUGGCAUUGAAAGUCUGCUGUCAAAGAGUCUGGCUCAACCAGAUACAGGCAGUGGAAACUUCAAGCUAGAGUGCGGUAGGGGCAGAGGGAAUUCCUGGUGUAGCGGUGAAAUGCGUAGAGUUCAGGAAGAACACCGGUGGCGAAAGCGCUCUGCUAGGCCGCAACUGACACUGAGGGACGAAAGC
This 572-nucleotide ribosomal RNA is filed under the name Rhizonema sp. 'cyanobiont of Coccocarpia palmicola'. RNAcentral describes it as "SSU rRNA". It matches the Rfam family "Bacterial small subunit ribosomal RNA", at positions 153 to 760 of the family's 1533-position model. The record is from RNAcentral. Lineage: Bacteria; Bacillati; Cyanobacteriota; Cyanophyceae; Nostocales; Rhizonemataceae.